This 1484-nucleotide ribosomal RNA is filed under the name uncultured rumen bacterium. Its description in RNAcentral is "bacterial SSU rRNA". It matches the Rfam family "Bacterial small subunit ribosomal RNA". The record is from RNAcentral.
AGAGUUUGAUCCUGGCUCAGGAUGAACGCUGGCGGCGUGCCUAAUACAUGCAAGUCGAGCGAGAAGCUACUUUGACGCGUUUUCGGACAAGUCUGUGUAGUGGAAAGCGGCGGACGGGUGAGUAACGCGUAGGCAACCUGCCCUUAGCAGAGGGAUAGCCAUUGGAAACGAUGAUUAAAACCUCAUAAAGCUGCAUAAACACAUGUAGAUGCAGCCAAAGAUUUAUCGGCUAAGGAUGGGCCUGCGUCUGAUUAACUAGUUGGCGGGGUAACGGCCCACCAAGGUGACGAUCAGUAGCCGACCUGAGAGGGUGAUCGGCCACAUUGGAACUGAGACACGGUCCAAACUUCUACGGAAGGCAGCAGUAAGGAAUCUUGCACAAUGGGGGAGACCCUGAUGCAGCCACGCCGCGUGAGUGAUGACGGCCUUCGGGUUGUAAAGCUCUGAUCUUGGGGAAGAAGAAAGUGACGGUACCCAAGGAGAAAGCCCCGGCUAACUACGUGCCAGCAGCCGCGGUAAUACGUAGGGGCAAGCGUUAUCCGGAAUUAUUGGGCGUAAAGAGUGCGUAGGUGGUUACCUAAGCGCAAGGUUUAAUCUUGAGGCUCAACCUCAUUCUGCCUUGCGAACUGGGCUACUUGAGUGCUGGAGGGGAAAGCGGAAUUCCCAGUGUAGCGGCGAAAUGCGUAGAUAUUGGRARGAACACCGGUGGCGAAGGCGGCUUUCUGGACAGUAACUGACACUGAGGCACGAAAGCGUGGGGAGCAAACAGGAUUAGAUACCCUGGUAGUCCACGCCGUAAACGAUGAGCACUAGUUGUUGGGUCCGARUGGAUUCAGUGACGCAGUCAACGCAAUAAGUGCUCCGCCUGGGGAGUACGGUGGCAACACUAAAACUCAAAGGAAUUGACGGGGACCCGCACAAGCAGCGGAGCAUGUGGUUUAAUUCGAAGCAACGCGAAAAACCUUACCAGGGCUUGACAUCCCUCUGAAAGAACCCUUAACCGGGUUCCUCCUUCGGGCAGAGGUGACAGGUGGUGCAUGGUUGUCGUCAGCUCGUGUCGUGAGAUGUUGGGUUAAGUCCCGCAACGAGCGCAACCCUUGUCGUCAGUUACUAACAUUUGGUUGAGGACUCUGGCGAGACUGCCGAGGUUAACUCGGAGGAAGGUGGGGAUGACGUCAAAUCAUCAUGCCCCUUAUGUUCUGGGCUACACACGUGCUACAAUGGUCGGUACAAUGAGACGCAGAGUCGCGAGGCGGAGCAAAUCACCAAAACCGAUCCCAGUUCGGAUUGCAGGCUGCAACUCGCCUGCAUGAAGUCGGAGUUGCUAGUAAUCGCGAAUCAGCAUGUCGCGGUGAAUGCGUUCCCGGGUCUUGUACACACCGCCCGUCACACCAUGGAAGUUGGGGGCGCCCAAAGUUGGCUAAUUAAUCUGCUACCUAAGGCGAAACCAAUGACUGGGGUGAAGUCGUAACAAGGUAACCGUA